GCAUAUGGAGGUUCCCAGGCCAGGGGUCGAAUCGGAGCUGUAGCCACCGGCCUACGCCAGAGCCACAGCAACUCGGGAUCCGAGCCGCGUCUGCAACCUACACCACAGCUCACGGCAAUGCCGGAUCGUUAACCCACUGAGCAAAGGCAGGGACCGAACCCGCAACCUCAUGGUUCCUAGUCGGAUUCGUUAACCACUGCGCCACGACGGGAACUCCUCAAAUGCAGUUUAUAGUUUGCUUUGUACCCAAGCCCCAGAGGACUUUUUGGGUGGUGGGUGGAGGAAGGGAAUUGGAGGUCCUGAUGAAAUUCAGAUGCACUGUUGACUCCAGGAAUGGGAAGGAGCUAGGGCCUCUGGGAUAAAAAGAGCAUUUCAAAGGGGGUUUCCAACCAAUUAGAUUCUGUGGGAAUGACAAAAUAUCUCUCUGAAAAUGAAAAUGUGUUCAUGAAUUCCUUGAAUCAGCCACUCUAACCAAUGUGUAACCUGGCUGCUCCUGAACUAUCAGGGUGAGAGUAGGAAAGAGGAAUUUUAAAUAGCGCAGAGGGCUAAGUUCUGACUGAAGCUUCCUCGCCUGUGGAGAGAAGCAGUGCAGGGGUGGUGGCAGAAGGUAAGGGUAACGAAGGCACCAUCUGGUGACUCUGCUAUUGUCAUUCUGGCCUCUGCUGCUAAGACUCAGUUACCAAGGCCCACCCUUUUCAGCUGAACUUCAUGGCUUCUGUUUACACAGUCUGUUUCCUGCCCCUCUUCUGCUGGAGGGGAAGCCCGGGGAGGGAGAAGAAAAGGGGCAGGUUGGGACCUUGGACCUUCAGCCCACUGUCUACAAAAUGCCAACUUAACGUUUUAAAAAUGAUCAUCGCAAAUGUGCUCCCUGUAGUAGGCCGAGGCAUAACCCCUGAGCUGGUCACAUUCUAGUCCCUUACUGUGCCGUAUAAUCGCAGAUGGCAAAAGGCACUUUGCAGAUGUGAUUAAGGAUUUAGAGAUGGGAGAGCAGCUUGCAUUAUCCAGGUGAGCUCAGUCGUGUAAUCACGGGGGUCCCUUCAGGAGGGAGGCAGAAGGAGAAACUGCUGGCAAGGAGGAGGUGUGAUGGUAGAAACAGCCAUUGGAGUAAGUGUGUGCUUUGAAGAUGGAAGAAGGGAGCAUAAGCCAAGACAGGGCCAUAACACAGGUGGCUGAAAAAGGUAAGGAAGCAGGGUCUCCCUUCAGAGGCUUAAGGAACAACCAGACCUUCUGACACCUUGACUUUAGCCCAGAGAAACCAAUGCCAGACUUCUGAUCUUCAGAACUGCUAAAAAAUACAUUUGUGGUAUUGUAAGUCCCUAAAUUUGUGGUAAUUAGUGCCAGCAGCUAUAGGAAACUCACACACUACCCGAAGGGCAAUUUUUUAUGACACAGUUAUUGUAUUAUUUCCUUUUGGAAAAGUUCACAUAACAUUUGUGGGAAUAUGCCUCUUGUGCAAAUGUUCUCCCACACUUCAUUUUUUCUUUCAUUCUUUUUUAAAGUAUAGUUGAUUUACAAUGUUGUGCCAGUUUCUGUCAUACAGCAAAGUGACUCAGUCAUACAAAUAUAUACAUUCUUUUUUCUCAUACUAUCUUCCAUUAUGUUCUGUCCCAAGAAAUUGGAUACCCUGUGCUAUACAGUAGUACCUCCUUUCUUGCCCAUUCUAAAUAACAGUUGCAUCUACUAACCCCAAACUCCCCGUCUCUCCCACUCCCUCCCCCACCCCUUGGCAUCCACAAGUCUGUUCUCUGUGUUUGUGAGUCUCUUUCCGUUUUGUAGAUAGGUUCGUUGGUGCCAUAUUUUCUUUACGAGGGUAACUAAGGGAACUUAUUUAAGCAAUUUAGAGGGAAUGACUGGGAUGAGUCAUAUAACUAAGGCAUUUAAGAGGGUCAGGGAAAAUUUAGUCUAACUAUUUUACAAAUGAGUUAAUUGAGACUAAAGGCUGGGCCUCCUGACUGCCAGUCUAAUGGGGGGUAGAUGAAGCAAGUGGCUGGCUGCCCCUCUUUCUGGCCUCCUGGGAACUUCCUGCCUCCUUUCUGAAAAUGGCUCAACUCUCUCAGUUGCUGCCAUAUGUGAUUGUACGUUGUUGGGAAUGACGAGGCCAGGAACAGCUCUGAUUUUGUUAAGGAUAAGAAGGGGGUUGAAGGAACAGGCGCCCUGGGAAUCAAGUUAUUUUAAAAAAUUAUUCCAAAUGCAUAGUUAUCACCACAGAACUGCAAUAUAUACUCUGUUCUAAGCCUUCAUUAAGAAAUGAAAGGAAUUUUCUCUGAACCUCAGCACGAAGCCUUGAAAUCCAAUCCCUGUUCUUUGAAUGCAAAGUCUGGAAAGGAAAUGGAAUGCCAUAAAUUACCUCAAUUAAACCUUUUUCUUUGUCUUUUGUUCUGUUCUUUGGGAAACUAAUCCAGGGAGGACAAGAAUGCAGCAGAAAUCAAACUUGCUCAAAUGAUUUGAAUACUCCCAAACCUGAGCCUAAUUAUAACCUUUGUUUACCGUUGUAGACUGCUGUCUCAGAUAAAGGAGGGUUCUUGAGGAGUUUGGGGCUAUUGGGAGGCUUUUAAAGUGUGUUUUUUUCAAGUAGGUGGUAGAUACACCUGUGCAUUUAAAAAAGAAUGGAGUAAUACCAACCUAAAGUUUCCUGCGAUUUUAAAGGGGCAGAGGGAGCUCUGGGAAUGUUACACCCUUGCUUCCAGUAGCUUCUGUAGAUCCUGGCCACAGUCUAUGAGGCACAUAUUGUUAUUUUAUUCUACUUGUGGAGAAGUUGUAGUUCAGUGAGCUAAAGUGAGCAAUUUGAAAAGAAUUCAGGUCUCAAGACUGCGGAUUGAGAGACCAGGCAGUUUAUAAUUCCCUUAGGUUCCAGGGCAGGCCACGUGAGGGCAAGGGGCAAACGCAGUGUCAAACCUUCCCAGUUCAGGGUUUUAGAUAUAUACGCCGUCAUUGAUGAACAUUUUAAUUGUAUAACUAUCUUUUUAAAAAAAUCCCAUUGCUGAUUUACUUAUAUUAAACUUUCCCGCAUUUAUAAUCUGUUAUUCAAGCAUCAGUGUGCUCAUUGUAACACGUCUUCAAGGUAAACAAGACUAAAAGCCUCGAUAAUCUCCUAUACUUUUCCCCAGGUUCAUACAAUGUAGAACGUUCGUUUUAAGGAAAAGCAUUGCCUCACGUAGAUCCUAUUGAACAGAGGAAAAUGGAUACCUAUUUAAAUAACUAUUAUUCAUAUGUACGUCAUUGCCCCUAAAGCACUGCCUGGACUUUGAUCUCUUCAAGAGUUAAAGCAUUUCCCUGCAGUUUUGUUUAUCCUCAACCGGGUGUGGGUUACCUCACACGGGAAUGGAAUCGCUCACUCCUGAAUGAAUGAGAUUUUGAUCUAUUCCAGUCUUUCCACUGCACCUCAGGCAUAGGUAACUCCACUCACCUGAACUUUUAUGCCCCGAGAAUGGCUAAGUAUCUAAGUAUCAGAGUCCCUGAGGAAGCAGCUCCUUGGGCUCUGGGGAAGACGUUUUGUGGGGGUUAGGCCUCCUUCAUAGAAGGAACUGCUGCCCUUGUGGUUGGCAGGUCCACAAAAGCCUGUUGAAACAAGCUGUCACCCCUCUUUGGAAUUUACCCUAGGCAGUGCCCAACUUCCCAGGUGGUUCCUGGCUUGUCUGUGGAUGUUGCUUCUCAGGCAGCCCCUUGGAAGUGUCCUCAGCCUUCCGUGAGCUCUGAGUUUGUCCCUUCUUCCCUCUGUUUCCUCUUCCUCUGGAAUUGGAACUGGAGUUCACUCGUGCUCCAGAAUUCCUAACCCUGGCCCAGCUUGUUCCCCACCUCGUCACAGCAUUGGUCACCUGCAUGGAGGGCUGGCAGUGGUCUGCUAAUGGUCCUAACACAUCACCUCUGCGUAUUUUCAAGAAUAGAGUUCCAGAGGCCAAACUGCAUAGUAGACAAAGCCUUUUGGUUGAAUAUUUUUUGUUUACCCUUUCAGACCUCUGCUCCGCAAUCCUGGAGGCUGUGUGCAGUGACUGACUCUUUCCCCUCUGGCUUCCAGUUGGACAUGAGCACUGGGAGACCCUGGAGGAGAUGGGAGGGCUGCAGGACAGUGAGGGGGGGUGCUCUCUCCCCCAGACCCCCUGGCGCCACCCCACAAGUUGCUGUGGUCAGUCUGUUUCCUCUGCUGCUGAAGACCACGGCUCUUCUGGGUUCUCCACUCUGUCCCUGUGGGCCUAGUGUGAUAAGGCCUCCUUGGUGCCCUGCUGUGGCCUGGGGUCCCUGUCCUUUGUCUAAACCCUUGUCAGUGGCCUCUGUCUUACCCUUUCCUCUUUGUCCCUGUUGGCCUGAGCCAUCUGUUUUCUGCCAGGACCAGAGUCUCUGGCCCCCUUUUUCCUAAGUGUCCCCCAUUCUUGGCCAUGAGUGGCCCCCUUGCCUCCUCUAUGUGUUAGUACUCACAUCACCACGUCUCUUUCCCCAGUGCCCAUGGUUUGAGCAACUGUCAUCAGUCGUUUCCAUCUUAGUCAGGAAUUAGCUCAGAAAGUAGUGUCAGAACCAGAAGCCAUUGGGAAAGUCACAUUGUUUAACGGGUCUCUUCUGAAAUAUGAAGAAAAUAGAGCAGAGAAGAUAGGUGUGUUGCUCACGGUGUCUGGAUACUACCUGGCAGCUGGUCCUCUGUUCUUUGCUCUGUACAGUGCAGAGACUGGGGAUAGAUGUCCCGAACUGGAGAUGUCUUCAGAAAUGAAGGUCAGAAGAUGCCACCUUCUGAAACUGAAACCAGUAAGACCUAACAUCAAAUAGAUGAAAAGUCAUCCC
Molecule: long non-coding RNA, 4770 nt
Filed under: Sus scrofa (pig)
Lineage: Eukaryota; Metazoa; Chordata; Mammalia; Artiodactyla; Suidae
Description: lncRNA (ENSSSCG00025050952.1)
Source: RNAcentral